This 776-nucleotide ribosomal RNA is filed under the name uncultured marine microorganism. Its description in RNAcentral is "bacterial SSU rRNA". It matches the Rfam family "Bacterial small subunit ribosomal RNA", at positions 8 to 829 of the family's 1533-position model. The record is from RNAcentral.
AGAGUUUGAUCCUGGCUCAGGAUGAACGCUGGCGGUAUGCCUAACACAUGCAAGUCGAACGAUGUCUUCGGACAUAGUGGCGGACGGGUGAGUAACGCGUGAGAAUCUGCCUCUAGGAUGGGGAUAACGGUUGGAAACGACCGCUAAUACCCAAUAUGCCGUAAGGUGAAAAAUUUAUUGCCUGGAGAGGAGCUCGCGUCUGAUUAGCUAGUUGGUGGGGUAAGAGCUCACCAAGGCUUCGAUCAGUAGCUGGUCUGAGAGGAUGAGCAGCCACACUGGGACUGAGACACGGCCCAGACUCCUACGGGAGGCAGCAGUGGGGAAUUUUCCGCAAUGGGCGAAAGCCUGACGGAGCAAUACCGCGUGAGGGAGGAAUGCCUUUGGGUUGUAAACCUCUUUUCUCAGGGAAGAAGAUCUGACGGUACCUGAGGAAUAAGUAUCGGCUAACUCCGUGCCAGCAGCCGCGGUAAUACGGAGGAUGCAAGCGUUAUCCGGAAUCAUUGGGCGUAAAGCGUCCGCAGGUGGUUUCCAAAGUCUGCUGUUAAAGACUGGAGCUCAACUCCGGAACGGCGGUGGAAACUUGGAAACUAGAGUUCGGUAGGGGUAGCAGGAAUUCCCAGUGUAGCGGUGAAAUGCGUAGAUAUUGGGAAGAACAUCGGUGGCGAANGCGUGCUACUGGACCGUAACUGACACUCAGGGACGAAAGCUAGGGGAGCGAAAGGGAUUAGAUACCCCUGUAGUCCUAGCUGUAAACGAUGGAAACUAGGUGUGGCUUG